RNAcentral lists this ribosomal RNA (253 nucleotides) under uncultured bacterium. RNAcentral's name for it is "partial 16S ribosomal RNA". It matches the Rfam family "Bacterial small subunit ribosomal RNA", at positions 524 to 776 of the family's 1533-position model. The record is from RNAcentral.
UACGGAGGGUGCAAGCGUUAUCCGGAUUCACUGGGUUUAAAGGGUGCGUAGGUGGGUAGGUAAGUCAGCGGUGAAAUCCCCGAGCUUAACUUGGGAACUGCCAUUGAUACUAUCUGUCUUGAAUACCUUGGAGGUGAGCGGAAUAUGUCAUGUAGCGGUGAAAUGCUUAGAUAUGACAUAGAACACCUAUUGCGAAGGCAGCUUACUACGCAGAUAUUGACGCUCAUGCACGAAAGCGUGGGGAUCAAACAGG